UAUCUUUCAAGAUUUAGAUUCACCAAAGAAAAAAUGGCUUCCUUAAGUGAUGAAAUUUUCGAUGUUAUUGGUGAACUCAUCCUUAUGAAGGAAGAAUCAAAAGAAGAUGAAGAGCACGUGAGGGUUAGUAUUUAUUUACACUAUUCGUACUCUUAUGUACUUUGUUUUUUCUAUAAGCGUUAAUUAUAUUUUGUGCAAUGUAGGGUUUGGAGAAAACUUUAAUUGAAUACCUUGAUGAAAACAAGAUUAUUCUGGACAGCCAACAUUUUGAAGCAAUCCGACAUUUAAAUAUAGAUAGAUUAAUUGAGUCUCAGCUGAAAAUCAUAGAUAAUUGUAUUGAAGAGAACAAUAAGCUUAUUGAAGCGAUGAAGGUUUGCCCAGGGGAGGAUUGCCCGUGUAGCUGCCACAGUCUUACCA
Molecule: long non-coding RNA, 417 nt
Filed under: Brassica napus (rape)
Lineage: Eukaryota; Viridiplantae; Streptophyta; Magnoliopsida; Brassicales; Brassicaceae
Description: long non-coding RNA (BNAP_LNC008194)
Source: RNAcentral